Molecule: long non-coding RNA, 1151 nt
Organism: Pogoniulus pusillus (Red-fronted tinkerbird)
Lineage: Eukaryota; Metazoa; Chordata; Aves; Piciformes; Lybiidae
Exons: 4
Source: RefSeq, a predicted model, not a curated record
UUCUAGAAAGCUGGUGUGAGGCAGUGCAUCUCACACCACUGGACAGGGGCUCCCAAAACCUCUCUGCCUUUUGGAACCAUCUGAACUGCGAGACUUUGCAAGAUACUUCUCUUGGCAAAUAAACUUGGCAGAGCCCAGAGGACAGCUCUGUUAUCAUCAAACCUCCUGUGAAUGCAAGUGGAAGAAGAGAAGCUCCUCUGUUAAGUACUUCAAUGUGUGAAUGACACACUUUGGAGUUAACAACAAUCCCUGGAGUGGUGAUUCUCAGAAGCUCUAUGUGUGGAAAUCUUUCUCUGGGACAGAGAAGGAGCUUGAACCAUUUCAAGAACUGCAGAGGAAAGCAGAGUGUUCUCAUCACUAAAGCACUCAUGUUCCUACUUUCUGAACUCAGCCCAGGCCUUUGUGAAUAGUCUGUUUGCUAAGAUGAAGAAGAACCUUUCCAAUGGCUCCUCCAUGGAUUCAGCUGUUAGGAGUUUUUCUGCUUCACCUUGAAGUUACUGUGGACUUUAUAAAGCUCCAGUCUUUGCAGGCUUGACGGCUGGUCAAACUUUAUUGAGCCACUUAAAUUGAUUAAGGCUUGCCCAAUUUUGCAACAUCAUCUCUUAAUGCAAUGAAGCCAGUGACCUGACCACUUUGUGUCUGAAGAAGGGAAGCUUGGAACAUUAUCCAGCUGUUGAUAUGAUAGGUUCUAUAUUAGCAACGGUUUUUUUUUUUGUCAAGAAGGAAAUCCAAUAUGAAAAGCCCUGAACUUUUAUUUUCUGAGACCAAAAGGAGCACCUUGCAUACUGAGAUAUACUGCUGGAGAUGCUAAAAUGUCACUGUGAAGGCUGAAAAUAAUUUGCUUGCACAGCAAGAGCUCAGCUUCUGGAAAGAUUUGGCUUUGGUAUGAAAAUCAGAGCCUCUAUCACACAUUCUUCAGGCUAUACUCUGCCCAAAGCAGAACUUUUGUUUUUGUUCCUGAGGAUUUGAGUAAACUUUAGUGUUUUUAAUAAGUGUUUCUUGCUAAAGGUUUCAGAUGGAUAGGUUGAAAAGGGUAAAUUAUGACACAGUUUGAAAAUCCUCAGUUUUAGAUAGCACAAUGCUGUUACACAAAGUGUGAUUACCUGCAUUUAAGGUAUGGAAGGCAGCUAUUGGGCACAGAUAGGAAGAAU